Molecule: non-coding RNA, 29 nt
Filed under: Homo sapiens (human)
Lineage: Eukaryota; Metazoa; Chordata; Mammalia; Primates; Hominidae
Source: RNAcentral
AAGAGGUGUUUGCAAAAUGCUUGUUGGGA